Ceratotherium simum simum (southern white rhinoceros) is the source of this 109-nucleotide non-coding RNA. The record is from RefSeq and is a predicted model, not a curated record. NCBI's taxonomy places the organism in Eukaryota, Metazoa, Chordata, Mammalia, Perissodactyla, Rhinocerotidae.
AGGAAGAUGGCCCCUUAAAAUUAGUACCAUAGGGCCUAGGUGUGUACUAGGCUACGCCAUCUAGGUUUGUGUAAGUACACCGUAUGUUCAGUCAAUGAAGAAAUCACUU